CCUAUUAACGAAACCAAUCCAGGAAAGGCUCAGCAGAAGGUGGAACAAGAUUUCAGUUGGGGUUUCAGGACUUCAAUCCGGAAGUUCCUGGAACAAUGAUCUACCCUCCAGGAUCCAGUCACAGCACCUGCAAAUCUCCAGGUUUGCUUCCUCCAUUUUAAGCAGGUGUCUGUCAUUAGCAGCCGGGAGACCUAAGGGUCCCACCCUGAGGGUUCGCGAUUCAGAUUCCAGGUCCAAAUCCCUUCGGAGUUAUCUGCCUAGAGUAGCUGUUUCUCAAGCUGUAACCCGAGGAGUUUGCGCUUUAGCUGUUAAGGCACAUUGCUGAGCCCCCGUCCCGACCAACGGAAACGGAUCCUAGGGUGUCGGCUGCGAGUGGGACGGGUGAGCAUGUUUUACAAGCUCCUGGGUGAUCUUAAGGCUCAAGUUUGAGAGCACUGGCCGACCUCGGCUCUACAUUUCCACUCUCCUCCCUCCGGGUCCGAAUCAGGUGAUCCCGCCCGUCUGGCCACAGCUGAUUGGGUGAAGAGACGAUACCCGUCCGAACCGAGCCAAUCAGUUUGCUUCCCCCCAAACACGGAACUAGGGUUUAGGAACCCACUGAGUCCUGGAGGCUGUUUAAACCUCUCUCCCCAACCCACACCAAGAAGUGGAAAAGGUAGCUCAGCAGAGGCAGGCGAAGGAGGGAACAACUGAGAAGAGGCAGGACAAUGCCAGACCAAUGUGGAAAAGAAUGAGAUAGAUCCCUGCAUCCAAACAUGGAAAGAUAUCCAAGAACUUGCCCUGAGAUAAUUUAGGACUCGUGAGAAAGCUGGCUCAGAAGAUGUUCAUCAGAACACGGCCUGGAAAAGGAGAACAGUGGGAAGCAGCCUAGGUGCCCAGCAUCAGGUGAAUGAACGCUACACUAGCCAGAAUCCUGCUGCAAAUUCCUGAUGAUGUGCAAAGGUCUUCAUGGCCCAUUCACAAACAUUUUUAUUGCAAAAAAAGGACAUCUCACUUUGAAAAUAUUUAAGCCCUAAAGAAAAGUAUAAAGUAAAAGCCAAAAGGUC
Panthera uncia (snow leopard) is the source of this 1046-nucleotide long non-coding RNA. RefSeq lists it as uncharacterized. NCBI's taxonomy places the organism in Eukaryota, Metazoa, Chordata, Mammalia, Carnivora, Felidae. The transcript is spliced from 3 exons. The record is from RefSeq and is a predicted model, not a curated record.